Molecule: ribosomal RNA, 429 nt
Filed under: Chloroflexota bacterium
Lineage: Bacteria; Bacillati; Chloroflexota
Description: Chloroflexi bacterium partial 16S ribosomal RNA
Rfam family: Bacterial small subunit ribosomal RNA
Source: RNAcentral
UGGGGAAUAUUGCACAAUGGGCGCAAGCCUGAUGCAGCCAUGCCGCGUGUAUGAAGAAGGCCUUCGGGUUGUAAAGUACUUUCAGUCGGGAGGAAGGUGUCAAGGUUAAUAACCUUGGCAAUUGACGUUACCGACAGAAGAAGCACCGGCUAACUCCGUGCCAGCAGCCGCGGUAAUACGGAGGGUGCAAGCGUUAAUCGGAAUUACUGGGCGUAAAGCGCACGCAGGCGGUUGAUUGAGUCAGAUGUGAAAUCCCCGGGCUUAACCCGGGAAUUGCAUCUGAUACUGGUCAGCUAGUGUCUUGUAGAGGGGGGUAGAAUUCCAUGUGUAGCGGUGAAAUGCGUAGAGAUGUGGAGGAAUACCGGUGGCGAAGGCGGCCCCCUGGACAAAGACUGACGCUCAGGUGCGAAAGCGUGGGGAGCAAACAGG